RNAcentral lists this ribosomal RNA (468 nucleotides) under uncultured bacterium. RNAcentral describes it as "partial 16S ribosomal RNA". It matches the Rfam family "Bacterial small subunit ribosomal RNA", at positions 28 to 507 of the family's 1533-position model. The record is from RNAcentral.
GACGAACGCUGGCGGCGUGCUUAACACAUGCAAGUCGAACGGAAAGGCCCUGCUUUUGUGGGGUGCUCGAGUGGCGAACGGGUGAGUAACACGUGAGUAACCUGCCCUUGACUUUGGGAUAACUUCAGGAAACUGGGGCUAAUACCGGAUAGGAGCUCCUGCUGCAUGGUGGGGGUUGGAAAGUUUCGGCGGUUGGGGAUGGACUCGCGGCUUAUCAGCUUGUUGGUGGGGUAUUGGCUUACCAAGGCUUUGACGGGUAGCCGGCCUGAGAGGGUGACCGGCCACAUUGGGACUGAGAUAGGGCCCAGACUCCUACGGGAGGCAGCAGUGGGGAAUAUUGCACAAUGGGCGGAAGCCUGAUGCAGCAACGCCGCGUGCGGGAUGACGGCCUUCGGGUUGUAAACCGCUUUCGCCUGUGACGAAGCGUGAGUGACGGUAAUGUGUAAAGAAGCACCGGCUAACUACGUG